UACGUAGGGUCCGAGCGUUGUCCGGAGUUACUGGGCGUAAAGUGUGCGCAGGCGGCAGAGCAAGUCGAGUGUGAAAGCCCCGAGCUUAACUUGGGAAUUGCGCUCGAAACUACUUUGCUGGAGUGUGGCAGAGGAAGGUGGAAUUCCAGGUGUAGCGGUGAAAUGCGUAGAGAUCUGGAGGAACACCGAUGGCGAAGGCAGCCUUCUGGGCCAACACUGACGCUCAUGCACGAAAGCGUGGGGAGCAAACAGG
Molecule: ribosomal RNA, 253 nt
Filed under: uncultured bacterium
Lineage: Bacteria
Description: partial 16S ribosomal RNA
Rfam family: Bacterial small subunit ribosomal RNA
Source: RNAcentral